CUCACAGACACACACACAUACUCAGACACACACUCACACACAGACACACACACAUACUCAGACCCACACUCACACACAGACACUCACACAUAUACACUCACAGACACACACACACAUACACUCACAGACACACACUCACCUAUACACUCACAGACGCACACACAUUCACAGACACACACACAUACAUGCAUAGACACACACACACUCACAGCACACACACACAUACACUCAUAGACACACACACACUCACAGACACACACUCAGACACACACACACACACACACACACACACAGACAGACACACACACACACAUAGACUCACAGACACAGACACAUACACUCACAGAAACACACACACACAUUCACAGACAUCAUAUUUUGGCUCCUGGCAUCAGCAAACGGCGCGAGGGAGCAGAGCAGAGAGAACACAGCUCCCUCGCUGCG
Molecule: non-coding RNA, 444 nt
Organism: Pelobates cultripes (western spadefoot toad)
Lineage: Eukaryota; Metazoa; Chordata; Amphibia; Anura; Pelobatidae
Source: the annotation of a GenBank genome assembly